GACGAACGCUGGCGGCGUGCCUAAUACAUGCAAGUCGAACGCUGAAGGAGGAGCUUGCUUCUCUGGAUGAGUUGCGAACGGGUGAGUAACGCGUAGGUAACCUGCCUGGUAGCGGGGGAUAACUAUUGGAAACGAUAGCUAAUACCGCAUAAGAGUAGAUGUUGCAUGACAUUUGCUUAAAAGGUGCAAUUGCAUCACUACCAGAUGGACCUGCGUUGUAUUAGCUAGUUGGUGGGGUAACGGCUCACCAAGGCGACGAUACAUAGCCGACCUGAGAGGGUGAUCGGCCACACUGGGACUGAGACACGGCCCAGACUCCUACGGGAGGCAGCAGUAGGGAAUCUUCGGCAAUGGACGGAAGUCUGACCGAGCAACGCCGCGUGAGUGAAGAAGGUUUUCGGAUCGUAAAGCUCUGUUGUAAGAGAAGAACGAGUGUGAGAGUGGAAAGUUCACACUGUGACGGUAUCUUACCAGAAAGAGACGGCUAACUACGUG
RNAcentral lists this ribosomal RNA (495 nucleotides) under uncultured bacterium. RNAcentral describes it as "partial 16S ribosomal RNA". It matches the Rfam family "Bacterial small subunit ribosomal RNA", at positions 28 to 507 of the family's 1533-position model. The record is from RNAcentral.